UACGUAGGGACCGAGCGUUGUCCGGAAUCAUUGGGCGUAAAGAGCGUGUAGGCGGCCACUUAAGUCCUGCGUGAAAUCUUGCGGCUCAACCGCAAGCGGUCGUGGGAAACUGGGUGGCUAGAGUGCGGGAGAGGAGAGUGGAAUUCCUGGUGUAGCGGUGGAAUGCGCAGAUAUCAGGAAGAACACCCGUGGCGAAGGCGGCUCUCUGGAACGCAACUGACGCUGAGACGCGAAAGCGUGGGGAGCAAAACAGG
This 254-nucleotide ribosomal RNA is filed under the name uncultured bacterium. RNAcentral's name for it is "partial 16S ribosomal RNA". It matches the Rfam family "Bacterial small subunit ribosomal RNA", at positions 524 to 776 of the family's 1533-position model. The record is from RNAcentral.